This is a long non-coding RNA of Sceloporus undulatus (fence lizard), 1149 nucleotides long. RefSeq lists it as uncharacterized. The transcript is spliced from 3 exons. The record is from RefSeq and is a predicted model, not a curated record. Lineage: Eukaryota; Metazoa; Chordata; Lepidosauria; Squamata; Phrynosomatidae.
GGAGCAGCAAGUAGCGCCGCUUCAACCCCGCCAUCGUCGCCCCGGUGGAUGGAUGCCUUGUUGUGUGCGCCUGCGCGGGGGCAAGUGGGCGGAGCCUUUGGGAAAGGAGGCGUGGCUUAGAGAAUCCAGGGAUUCAUAGUUCGGUGAGGAGCCGUCACUCUUGGGCAGAAAAAAGGCCAAAGACCUUGUGAAGCUACAGAUCCCAGGAUUCCUCAGGAUGGAGCUGUGGCACUGAAAAGCGGCGUCAAACUACACUCAACCCCCAUAUUUGCAGCUGUGAUUCAGUAUUUUUCCUUGGAUGUCACAGUCUUCUUGAAAGAUGGAGCGAAGUGAAACACACAGUACUAAAACAGCAAGGAUCCAUCGUGGUGCUGUGGGAGAACUAAAAAAAGGCUGGCAGAGCUGGUCAGAGGAUCACGUUGAUUAUCAGAAACGGAACCCCUUCAGCAGCAACAGGCCAGUAGUGCUACGUACUGAGAGAGGUGAUCCCACUUAUGGGAGGCCUCCAGAAGGAUCCAAAACAGAACAGAGGGGGAAAGAUGCCCACACACACGUAGGCAAGGAAGUGGAAGAAUUAUGCUUGGUCAUAAGCAGUGUUGGGGAGAGAGGACGAGAUGGAUAUGUGAGAAUAACAUUUAAGCACCUCUUCGACAGAUAUGUGACUAUAUCCAAUAAAGUUGUAGGUGUUCUCUUGAGAGCAAGAAAGCAUGGGCUAGUUGACUUUGAAGGUGAAAUGCUUUGGCAAGGAAGAGAUGAUGAUGUGGUUAUUACCUUACUUGAAUGAGUUGGAUAAACCUUACUGCAUGAUACUCUGGGGAACACUUUAGGGACUUUAAAUGGCAACCAUGUUGGCUGGUCAGGAUGUGGUGAGGAAAAUGCUAACCAGAGGAAACAUGUUUAAAGGAGGUACAUGGCUGCUAUUUUAUGCCUUUGCACCCCUGAUUUCUCCAGUGUCUCUUUAGUUUAUUUCUAUGUAUUUAAAAGGAUAAGAGCAUUUUACAAAACUACAGAAUGGUAUUUAUCUCCUAACCUCUGUGUGCGUGUGUGAGAGAGAACUGGAAUUGCAUGCUGAAAACAGGAAAAUAUGAUUAACAGCUGGGGCUGUGAUGGAAAUAUGCAUUUUAAAUAAAUAAAAGUAAUGUAAGCAUA